UGACCAUUCUGACCUAGAAAACCAUUUUAAAUAACACUGUUAUGUUUCCUAACAUUACUGGAACCUUCGUCGUGACGUCAUCAGCCCAGUCAAGUUGCCGGCUGUCGGCUGUCGUUUCUUACUGUGUCCAGACUUCAGUGACUAAAGAGUAAAUUGAACUGACGUCGGUAACCUUUCUACUGUUAUUUCAUCGUGGAACGGGAAUUAGGAACUUCAGCAACACCAAAAAAAUUCUGAGAUCCUGGGUUAGAACUACAAUACAGCACUAGAGCCAAGAAUGCAACUUGAAAUUUUUCAGAGCUGUAUCUCGAAGUGAUUGGGCAACAUGGCAGGUUAUGGGUAUACAGGUACCACCAUUUUACCCGAGGAGAUAAUCCCAGUCAGAAAGCUGCUGUAUGUUUCCUUUUUGUCUUCACAGUUAUUGAAUUUAACUUUGGCAGUUAUGGAGUCAGGAUAUUGUACCUGUACUUGAACUAAAGAUCUCUUGGAAAGUCUUAACAUCUGUGAAAUACAGUAGUUCCAAGAAAAACUUAGUCUCCAAGGAUUGGGUUACUAUUUUGAUUUUGUGUAUGGAGAAAGACUCUUGAUGUCAUAUACAAGGUAUUUUGAGUUGAGGUGGUUAUAUAAACUCGAGGGAUGAAGAAUUGAUUAAUGUAAAAAACUUAAAAUGUAGAAAUUUUGUUGAGCUUAAGAGAAGUUUGGACGAUUGUCAUUGUCAUGCUCUUUCAGAGAAAUGGCCGAUGGAGAACUAUAAGUCAACGAACAGCUAUCUUUUCCUGCAUAUGUAUGAACUGUGAGAAAUUACUGAUGAAGAAUUUCAAGUCGGUAAUCUGUUAAAUUCUCUUGGAGAACUCAAGUCAACGAAUCUGUACGUCAAAAAACCACUUCUGGAGACCAAUGAGUUAGUGGUUCAAUCAUCUUGAAAAAAGUUACUUUAGAAAGGAUGCUGCUGUACAUAGAUAAGAACACUCAAGAAAAAAGUUACUUUAGAAAGGAUGCUGCUGUACAUAGAUAAGAACACCCAAUGUAUAGAAUUUUUUAAAAUUUCCUUGUGGACUGAAAAUAAGGAUGAUAACUCAUAUCUUGGGGUUAAAUCGGCUUAAGUGAAAAUUUACGUGCACUAUGUGACUAUAUCUGCAGAGUAUAUGUUUUGAAAAUGAUUAUUUAGAGUCCUGGAGAAAGAUAUUCAAUUUGUCUAGAUGUAUCCUGUCCUUAUUAAUAUAUUUAGCAGGUUAAAUAAAGCUAAAAUCAGUA
Molecule: long non-coding RNA, 1254 nt
Organism: Macrobrachium nipponense
Lineage: Eukaryota; Metazoa; Arthropoda; Malacostraca; Decapoda; Palaemonidae
Exons: 5
Source: RefSeq, a predicted model, not a curated record